ACGGAGGAUCCGAGCGUUAUCCGGAUUUAUUGGGUUUAAAGGGAGCGUAGAUGGAUGUUUAAGUCAGUUGUGAAAGUUUGCGGCUCAACCGUAAAAUUGCAGUUGAUACUGGAUAUCUUGAGUGCAGUUGAGGCAGGCGGAAUUCGUGGUGUAGCGGUGAAAUGCUUAGAUAUCACGAAGAACUCCGAUUGCGAAGGCAGCCUGCUAAGCCGCAACUGACAUUGAGGCUCGAAAGUGUGGGUAUCAAACAG
This 251-nucleotide ribosomal RNA is filed under the name uncultured bacterium. RNAcentral's name for it is "partial 16S ribosomal RNA". It matches the Rfam family "Bacterial small subunit ribosomal RNA", at positions 525 to 775 of the family's 1533-position model. The record is from RNAcentral.